Molecule: RNA transcript, 2457 nt
Organism: Sceloporus undulatus (fence lizard)
Lineage: Eukaryota; Metazoa; Chordata; Lepidosauria; Squamata; Phrynosomatidae
Gene name: membrane-spanning 4-domains subfamily A member 8-like
Exons: 8
Source: RefSeq, a predicted model, not a curated record
UCAUGCAGUGAACACGAGUGUACCACAUCCUAAAACUGCCUAAGCCACCCCACUUCCUGUUUUGCUCUCACUUCAAACUGCUUUCAUCUUUAGCACACCCUGGUGAAGUUGCAGGACCACUCUCAGAAUAAGGACAUCAUGGAGUGUAACACAACACACAGCUUAGAUACAACAGCACAGCCAAUGAAGCUGGCUAAUGGAAGAGUGGUCAUCAUAGAUCCAAAUGGCAGCGAACAGAUUCCUAGUAAUGUAAUGCACUAUAUACAAUCUGGAAGCCAACAGUAUGGAAGUCCAGGUGGACAACCUCAGCAGAACUCUCUUGUUAGGGCACUGGAGAAGUUAAUUAAACUAGAAGCCAAGACUCUGGGGGCCUUACAGAUCAUGAUUGGACUGAUACACAUUGGCCUUGGAAUCAUCUCAGGAAUUAUUGGAAUUGGUCACUACAUUUCUGUUGCAUUUUAUCCAGUGUACAGUGGACUGGGUUUUAUUGCUUCUGGAUCUGUGUCCAUCUCAGCUCAAAAACAUUGGAAUACUAGAUUGAUGAAUACCAGUGUGGGAAUGAACAUCUUAAGUGCUUUCCUGGCAUCCAGUGGCAUUGUUGCAUAUAUAUGUGAAUUAGCUAUAAAUCUAAAUGUUUCAAAACUAUAUGGUGUUUCCCCAUCAUACAUGUCAGUAGGUGUUGGCUUCUCUGUGCUAUUCCUCCUGUUCAGUUCACUAGAGUUCUGCAUUACUGUUAUAGUGGCACAUUUUGGGUGCCAGAGAAACUGCUGCACAGAUGAUACAGCCAUUGUUUAUGUGCCUUGCACUGCCACUGGAGAGAAUUUAGCUCCCACUGAAGACAAUAUGGCUUCCCAGACCGUUUAAUAAAAAAAAUGGAAGAAAUUAUGGAAGAUACCAAGCAUGCAGUCUUAGUGCACCCUAUUCUGUCCUCUGCUCUAUUUUCCUCAGACAUAGUUUGUGAGCCCUGCACUGGAGUGUGGCUCCCACUAGAAACAAUACUGUUCUUCCAAUCUGAGAUCGUAUGGCACUUUCUUGACAGAGGGGCUUCAUGGAGAACCACAAUGUAGAAGAUAUCAUGGCAACCUACCUAUUCCUGAAGUGCUGGGGAAGUUCUUUUUCAGGACAAAUCGGUGGCUUAAAGAAUAACUAAGUAUCACCAUGUACCUCCUAAUACUUCUUUCCUCCAAAAUGUGUCAUCUUCUCUCUUUUUAACUGUUCAGUGAAAACUAGGAUCACUAACAAACAUGUAGUUUGAGUUCAACCACCACCCUAAGGCAUUACAUGAUUAACCCUUCAGAGUUAAUUGCUGAAAAAAUAUCCCAAGGGCUGAUGCCAUCUCAGCUGGAUUUUUAAGUGCUCUCACAACAAAACAACAGGGGAUUCCAUGUGAUUAAUUGUUUUUAUACGGCACUCAAUGUUCAAGGAGUAAUAUUUUAUUCCAUUUAAGUAUCUAAACAAAAAUGUCAAGGAAGAAGAAAAGGAAAGAAGCAAUAAGGGGCCAGAGCUUGAGAUAGCUACCGUUUUUGGAUUGCAACACUCAGAAUCCCCUUGGGAUCCUGAAUACUAGUCAGGUUGGCUGGAGUGUUCUGGAAAAAGGCAACAUUUUCAGGUUUUGUACUUGAUUAAUGUGAUAUGAAUUUUCCAACAUAAUCUCAGCAGGAGGAAGGAAAUCUGUGGCAUAUUUUGUAUAUCAGUGCCAAGGCAUGCUGAUAUGUAUGUGGCAAAGGCUAACAUUACUCCUCAGCUCCAUCUCUCUAGGUUUUCGUUAGUUAUUUUUUUAACCAACGAUCACCUAGGCAGGUAGAGAUGUUAAGUUGAGUUGAAUUGUAGUUAAACAUUGAGGCUAUACAGACUGACAAGCAACAUCGGCAUCGGGGUGGAGUGGGGGCAUGGCGAUCACAUGCCACCCACUCUGACUCCACCCUGAUGCUGGCAUCACACCUCCCACCCAACCAGGAGAUGGGUGGCAGCAUGACAUUUCUGCACCACAGCAUUUAGACACACUGUGCUGAAGAAAUAGGGGAAAGCUGCUGCUGCCACAAGGGCAGCUUUUUGCCAGCUCCAAAAGGAAUGGCUUUCUGUCACUUCUUUUUGGAGCCAGCAAAUCACCAGAAUGAGGCUGUGGAGUGCGAUUGCUUCAGCCCCGAUCCAGCGCUCAAAGAGGCAGUGGCAAGCCACUCCUUUGGGGCCAUCUGUUUAGCCCCUGUCUCAAAUUCCUUUUAGUAGGAGGCAUUACACGUUUACUAUAACAAUUUGCUCAAAUAUUCUGGGAAUAAUGACAGGCAUUUUGUUCAGUGAUUUUCAUGUUGAAAAUCUGCCUGUUUGUUUGUUUGUUUGUUUAAUUGAUAACUCACUUUUCUCCCAUAUGGGACACAGAGUGGAUCCUGAUAUAUGUUAAAACAAUAUAGCUGUAAACAAUACAAAAAAAUUAAAAGCAUUAAAUACAUUCCUCUUAAA